GCGAGAGUGGCGGAAUUGGCAGACGCGCUAGAUUUAGGAUCUAGUGGGCAAAACCCGUGGGGGUUCGAGUCCCCCCCCUCGCA
Molecule: transfer RNA, 83 nt
Filed under: Bacteroidota bacterium
Lineage: Bacteria; Pseudomonadati; Bacteroidota
Also listed under: 1 other name
Description: Bacteroidetes bacterium (marine metagenome) tRNA-Leu
Rfam family: tRNA
About the family: Transfer RNA (tRNA) molecules are approximately 80 nucleotides in length. Their secondary structure includes four short double-helical elements and three loops (D, anti-codon, and T loops).
Source: RNAcentral